CUAACACUUUCACUUUUUCACUUUUAUGUAAUUAAUUAAAGCUGCAUAGGGCCUUCUUGUCUUAUUUUGUUAUUCCUUCCUCUUCACAGGAAGUUUCACCAAUUGAAAGAGAAACCCUUGUGUGGCCAUUCAUGUUUUGUACUGGUUUGGAACAUAGAGAAAGAUGGAAGUGUUUGAUGAAAUUGGGCAGAGAAAUCCUGACUGAGGAAGUUGGAGGACUACCAGGUCUUUGAGGACACGGAGCGCAUUGUACAUCCUGGCUUUGCUGUAACCAACGAAUAAACUCAAAGCAAAACAGAAGUUCAGAGUUUCUCAGGACAGCCACUGUUUGGUCUUUGGAAAAUACAUCACACAUUCACCUGCUCAGAAUGAAAACAACCCAUACAUUCCACAGUGAAGAAAGAAUGUCAAGAGAAGCAUCGUCAGAGCUUUUGGAUAUUUCUUACCAUAUGAGGAGUUAAGUAGAGUCGAGUGAAUGUGGAAGCCUUCAUGAAAUUCAUGUAUUUUGUUAAUAUAAUUGAAAUUGUUUUAUGAUUUGGGAACUUACUGAUAAAGCUUUGUAAAACUACAGAUAAUAAACUAUAUUUAGUUACAUAUUGAAUAAGUCA
Molecule: long non-coding RNA, 608 nt
Filed under: Bos indicus x Bos taurus (hybrid cattle)
Lineage: Eukaryota; Metazoa; Chordata; Mammalia; Artiodactyla; Bovidae
Description: lncRNA (ENSBIXG00005000128.1)
Source: RNAcentral